GAUGAACGCUGGCGGCGUGCCUAAUACAUGCAAGUCGAGCGAACAGACGAGGAGCUUGCUCCUCUGACGUUAGCGGCGGACGGGUGAGUAACACGUGGAUAACCUACCUAUAAGACUGGGAUAACUUCGGGAAACCGGAGCUAAUACCGGAUAAUAUAUUGAACCGCAUGGUUCAAUAGUGAAAGACGGUUUUGCGGUCACUUAUAGAUGGAUCCGCGCCGCAUUAGCUAGUGGGUAAGGUAACGGCUUACCAAGGCAACGAUGCGUAGCCGACCUGAGAGGGUGAUCGGCCACACUGGAACUGAGACACGGUCCAGACUCCUACGGGAGGCAGCAGUAGGGAAUCUUCCGCAAUGGGCGAAAGCCUGACGGAGCAACGCCGCGUGAGUGAUGAAGGUCUUCGGAUCGUAAAACUCUGUUAUUAGGGAAGAACAAAUGUGUAAGUAACUAUGCACGUCUUGACGGUACCUAAUCAGAAAGCCACGGCUAACUACGUG
Molecule: ribosomal RNA, 497 nt
Filed under: uncultured bacterium
Lineage: Bacteria
Description: partial 16S ribosomal RNA
Rfam family: Bacterial small subunit ribosomal RNA
Source: RNAcentral